RNAcentral lists this ribosomal RNA (859 nucleotides) under uncultured bacterium. RNAcentral's name for it is "bacterial SSU rRNA". It matches the Rfam family "Bacterial small subunit ribosomal RNA", at positions 524 to 1381 of the family's 1533-position model. The record is from RNAcentral.
UACGGGGGGUGCAAGCGUUAAUCGGAAUCACUGGGCGUAAAGGGUGCGUAGGCGGUACGUUAGGUCUGUCGUGAAAUCCCCGGGCUCAACCUGGGAAUGGCGGUAGAAACCGGCGCACUAGAGUAUGGGAGAGGGUGGUGGAAUUCCAGGUGUAGCGGUGAAAUGCGUAGAGAUCUGGAGGAACAUCAGUGGCGAAGGCGGCCACCUGGCCCAAUACUGACGCUGAGGCACGAAAGCGUGGGGAGCAAACAGGAUUAGAUACCCUGGUAGUCCACGCCCUAAACGAUGAAUACUAGAUGUUUGGUACCUAGCGUACUGAGUGUCGUAGCUAACGCGAUAAGUAUUCCGCCUGGGAAGUACGGCCGCAAGGUUAAAACUCAAAGGAAUUGACGGGGGCCCGCACAAGCGGUGGAGCAUGUGGUUUAAUUCGAUGCAACGCGAAGAACCUUACCUGGGCUUGACAUGUCCGGAAUUCUGCAGAGAUGCGGGAGUGUCCUUCGGGGAAUCGGAACACAGGUGCUGCAUGGCUGUCGUCAGUUCGUGUCGUGAGAUGUUGGGUUAAGUCCCGCAACGAGCGCAACCCUUGUCCUUAGUUGCCAGCGGUUCGGCCGGGCACUCUAGGGAGACUGCCGGUGACAAACCGGAGGAAGGUGGGGAUGACGUCAAGUCCUCAUGGCCUUUAUGUCCAGGGCUACACACGUGCUACAAUGGCGCGUACAGAGGGAAGCCAAGCCGCGAGGUGGAGCAGACCCCAGAAAGCGCGUCGUAGUUCGGAUUGCAGUCUGCAACUCGACUGCAUGAAGUCGGAAUCGCUAGUAAUCGCGGAUCAGCAUGCCGCGGUGAAUACGUUUCCGGGCCU